GACGAACCGUGCGAACGUUAUUCGGAAUCAUUGGGCUUAAAGGGUGCGUAGGCGGGCUCGUGAGUCAGGGGUGAAAUCCCACGGCCCAACCGUGGAAGUGCCUCUGAUACUGCGGGCCUGGAGGGGGAUAGGGGCGUGCGGAACUUCCGGUGGAGCGGUGAAAUGCGUAGAUAUCGGAAGGAACACCGGUGGCGAAGGCGGAUCUCUGGGCCUUGCCUGACGCUGAGGCGCGAAAGCUAGGGGAGCGAACAGG
This 253-nucleotide ribosomal RNA is filed under the name uncultured bacterium. Its description in RNAcentral is "partial 16S ribosomal RNA". It matches the Rfam family "Bacterial small subunit ribosomal RNA", at positions 524 to 776 of the family's 1533-position model. The record is from RNAcentral.